GCCCGCCUAGCUCAAUCGGAUAGAGCGUCAGACUUUUACGGCGGGGGAUCUGAAGGCUGCGAGUUCGACCCUCGCGGUGGGCU
RNAcentral lists this transfer RNA (83 nucleotides) under Lentinula edodes (shiitake mushroom). RNAcentral's name for it is "tRNA-Lys". It matches the Rfam family "tRNA". From Rfam's summary of the family: Transfer RNA (tRNA) molecules are approximately 80 nucleotides in length. Their secondary structure includes four short double-helical elements and three loops (D, anti-codon, and T loops). Further hydrogen bonds mediate the characteristic L-shaped molecular structure. tRNAs have two regions of fundamental functional importance: the anti-codon, which is responsible for specific mRNA codon recognition, and the 3' end, to which the tRNAs corresponding amino acid is attached (by aminoacyl-tRNA synthetases). tRNAs cope with the degeneracy of the genetic code in two manners: having more than one tRNA (with a specific anti-codon) for a particular amino acid; and 'wobble' base-pairing, i.e. permitting non-standard base-pairing at the 3rd anti-codon position. The record is from RNAcentral. Lineage: Eukaryota; Fungi; Basidiomycota; Agaricomycetes; Agaricales; Omphalotaceae.